This 74-nucleotide transfer RNA is filed under the name Phycisphaerae bacterium. RNAcentral's name for it is "tRNA-Val". It matches the Rfam family "tRNA". Rfam says of the family: Transfer RNA (tRNA) molecules are approximately 80 nucleotides in length. RNAcentral also lists the same sequence under 3 other names. Lineage: Bacteria; Pseudomonadati; Planctomycetota; Phycisphaerae. The record is from RNAcentral.
GGGCGAUUAGCUCAGUUGGCUAGAGCGUACGGAUCACACCCGUAAGGUCACAGGUUCGAGCCCUGUAUCGCCCA